CAGCCGCCACGGUAAUACGAACCGUGCGAACGUUAUUCGGAAUCACUGGGCUUAAAGCGCGUGUAGGCGGGCCGCCACGUCGGCUGCUGAAAUCCCCCGGCUCAACCGGGGAAGUGGCACCGAUACGAGCGGCCUGGAGGGGGGUAGGGGGGACUGGAACUUCCGGUGGAGCGGUGAAAUGCGUUGAGAUCGGAAGGAACGCCCGUGGCGAAAGCGAGUCCCUGGACCCUUACUGACGCUGAGACGCGAAAGCCAGGGGAGCAAAUGGGAUUAGAUACCCCCGUAGUCCCUGUCUCUUAUA
This 301-nucleotide ribosomal RNA is filed under the name uncultured bacterium. Its description in RNAcentral is "partial 16S ribosomal RNA". It matches the Rfam family "Bacterial small subunit ribosomal RNA", at positions 509 to 807 of the family's 1533-position model. The record is from RNAcentral.